RNAcentral lists this microRNA (25 nucleotides) under Drosophila mojavensis. RNAcentral describes it as "Dmo-Mir-9692_5p (mature (guide))". Lineage: Eukaryota; Metazoa; Arthropoda; Insecta; Diptera; Drosophilidae. The record is from RNAcentral.
UUGUACAUUGAAUGGUAGCUAUCGG